RNAcentral lists this transfer-messenger RNA (398 nucleotides) under uncultured Prevotella sp. It matches the Rfam family "transfer-messenger RNA". From Rfam's summary of the family: Bacterial tmRNA, also known as 10Sa RNA or SsrA, is named for its dual tRNA and mRNA-like properties. Its role is to liberate the mRNA from a stalled ribosome. To accomplish this part of the tmRNA is used as a reading frame that ends in a translation stop signal. Lineage: Bacteria; Pseudomonadati; Bacteroidota; Bacteroidia; Bacteroidales; Prevotellaceae. The record is from RNAcentral.
GGGGUUGACUGGAUUUGACAGCAAGCUGAUGUGGUACGUAAGCACGCGGAGCGUUGAUGGCUGACUCCUUAAUCACAGCUCUCACUAAAUUUAAUUGGCGAAAACAACUACGCUCUCGCUGCCUAAUCGAAGUACAGUAGAUUACUGGCUUAAUUCCGUCACCAGGUGAUGGAACGAGACGUCGCUCCGAUGAUGUUGUUCCGAAUCAGAAGAUAAAGCGGCGCAGGAAAAUCGGAAAUAGUCUGCCAGAGCCUCGACUGGCUGAUGAAAUUUUAGAGGAUAAGGCGCCGGUUGGUGGUCCAGGUCUUGCCGUCGCACGAAAAUGAAGUCUGGAAUAAGCGUGUAGAAAGCGUAUGGCUUCCUUGUUUGGACGUGGGUUCGAAUCCCACCAGCUCCAC